This 254-nucleotide ribosomal RNA is filed under the name uncultured bacterium. RNAcentral's name for it is "partial 16S ribosomal RNA". It matches the Rfam family "Bacterial small subunit ribosomal RNA", at positions 524 to 776 of the family's 1533-position model. The record is from RNAcentral.
UACGUAGGGUGCAAGCGUUGUCCGGAAUUACUGGGCGUAAAGGGCGCGUAGGCGACAUAUUAAGUCAUCUGUGAAAUCUCCGAGCUUAACUCGGAACUGUCAGCUGAUACUGAUGUGCUAGAGUGCGGAAGGGGCAAUCGGAAUUCUUGGUGUAGCGGUGAAAUGCGUAGAUAUCAAGAGGAACACCUGAGGUGAAGACGGGUUGCUGGGCCGACACUGACGCUGAGUGCGCGAAAGCCAGGGGAGCAAACGGG